Molecule: long non-coding RNA, 764 nt
Filed under: Equus asinus (donkey)
Lineage: Eukaryota; Metazoa; Chordata; Mammalia; Perissodactyla; Equidae
Description: lncRNA (ENSEASG00005034955.1)
Source: RNAcentral
UGGUGUUAAUGGCCUUACAUCAGCAAACAGCAAGUAUGUAAUGUGGAUCUCUCUUCCUUUGUGAGGAAAGAAUGGAUCAAAAUUACAAGGAAAAGUGCUUUGCGAGAGUUGGAGAUGAGAUAAAUACCCAAUCGUGGCCCAGGUGAGGGGGAUAGAAAUGGAGCAAUUGCAGCCGAAGAUUCACCUUGGAUUCACUUCCUGUGUGAAUUCUUUAGUGAAAGAACUGAUGGAAGAUCUCCAUUUCUACGUGGGAUCCUGGGUAGUCUGCCAUGAGCAAAGAGACAACAGAUAAGACUAAUUUAGCCAGCAGAUCUCCAGAUGGGGUGCUUAAGUUUGGAGACCACCUUUUUUCUGCCAUACUUGCAAGGAUCCUGUGAGCAGCCUCAAGUGUUAGGGCUACAGAUGGACAUUCUAAAUCCAGGGCAUUUUCAAACUCAACUAUUGAGAAACUGGUACUUGCCCCUGGGAUAUUAAGAAGGCUCAAUCCUGCCAUAUAUGACAACGUGGAUGAACCUGGAGGACUUUCUGAUGGGUGAAAUAAACCAGUCCCAGAAGGACAAAUACUGCAUGAUUCCACUUAUAAGAGACCCUGCGAUGUAAUAUUAAAAAGAUUCCUGAGCUCCAGCACAGAACAGAUUAGCCCUGAGCUAACAUCUGCUGCCAAUCCUCCUCUUUUUUGCUGAGGAAGACUGGCCCUGAGCUAACAUCCACGCCCAUCUUCCUCUACUUUCUAUGUGGGACACCUGCCGCAGCAUGGCUUGACA